Rana temporaria (common frog) is the source of this 200-nucleotide small nuclear RNA. RefSeq annotates it as U2 spliceosomal RNA. Lineage: Eukaryota; Metazoa; Chordata; Amphibia; Anura; Ranidae. The record is from RefSeq and is a predicted model, not a curated record. The transcript has a single exon.
CUCGCUUCUCGGCCUUUUGGCUAAGAUCAAGUGUAGUAUCUGUUCUUAUCAGUUUUCGGCGGAGCACUGAAGCACCGCUUUAGUAGAGGGUGGAUGUAAUCCAAUGAUGUGAUAGGCACCUGGAAGGAUGGUUUCAGCAGGGGCUAUGCCGGGCUACCCGACUGUCUGGGGGCAGGCCACUAGUCGAGUCUGAACCAUCU